RNAcentral lists this transfer RNA (75 nucleotides) under Nanobdellota archaeon. RNAcentral's name for it is "tRNA-Arg". It matches the Rfam family "tRNA". From Rfam's summary of the family: Transfer RNA (tRNA) molecules are approximately 80 nucleotides in length. Their secondary structure includes four short double-helical elements and three loops (D, anti-codon, and T loops). Lineage: Archaea; Nanobdellati; Nanobdellota. The record is from RNAcentral.
GGGCCUGUAGCGCAGCAUGGAUAGCGCGACUGCCUCCUAAGCAGUAGGUCGUGAGUUCAAAUCUCAUCAGGCCCG